GAUGAACGCUGGCGGCGUGCUUAACACAUGCAAGUCGAACGGUGAACACGGAGCUUGCUCUGUGGGAUCAGUGGCGAACGGGUGAGUAACACGUGAGCAACCUGCCCCUGACUCUGGGAUAAGCGCUGGAAACGGCGUCUAAUACUGGAUAUGUGACGUGAUCGCAUGGUCUGCGUCUGGAAAGAAUUUCGGUUGGGGAUGGGCUCGCGGCCUAUCAGCUUGUUGGUGAGGUAAUGGCUCACCAAGGCGUCGACGGGUAGCCGGCCUGAGAGGGUGACCGGCCACACUGGGACUGAGACACGGCCCAGACUCCUACGGGAGGCAGCAGUGGGGAAUAUUGCACAAUGGGCGCAAGCCUGAUGCAGCAGCGCCGCGUGAGGGAUGACGGCCUUCGGGUUGUAAACCUCUUUUAGCAGGGAAGAAGCGAAAGUGACGGUACCUGCAGAAAAAGCGCCGGCUAACUACGUG
RNAcentral lists this ribosomal RNA (468 nucleotides) under uncultured bacterium. Its description in RNAcentral is "partial 16S ribosomal RNA". It matches the Rfam family "Bacterial small subunit ribosomal RNA", at positions 28 to 507 of the family's 1533-position model. The record is from RNAcentral.